Molecule: long non-coding RNA, 740 nt
Filed under: Solanum tuberosum (potato)
Lineage: Eukaryota; Viridiplantae; Streptophyta; Magnoliopsida; Solanales; Solanaceae
Description: long non-coding RNA (STUB_LNC010635)
Source: RNAcentral
AAAAAUAGAGAUAACAUAUUGUGCCCUUCAACAUUUAUUAAUUUUAACCCACAUUCAUUAAUAAUUAUACUAGUAUUGUAUUUAUAUCUCUUCCUAGAUAAUGAAAGAAAACAAGUUAAACUAAACAACAAAAAGCUUUAAACAAUUUCAGUAAUGAAAGAAAAACAACCAUUAACAUACUUAAAUCAAUAUAACAAACAUUAGUUUAAAAAGAGAAAUUAACUGGAGCAAACAAUCCGAAAAAUUAUGAUAAUGAAAAAAUAAGAAUAACAGUGGUCAAAAAUAAGAAAAAUCAACCAAUAUUCACAAACAAUAACUAAAAAAGACAUAACAAACAAUAAAAAUGGAGUUACCCGUCUUGGAGUUUGACGAUUUCUGAUCAGAUCUUAUACGAUCCCAUCGUGAGAGAGAUGGGUGAGCAGCCAUUGUGGUGUCGCUUCUGUUUCUGGGUUGUUGGUUCAGGGAUUUGAUGUUGUUUGGAUGCCGGAGCUGCUGGUCUGGUGGUGCUCUGUUCUACGCCGGAGAUGUCAAGAGUGAUGAAUAGAGGUCGGAGAUCAUUCGAACGACAAUAGGUUACCUGCGAGACAAGAAAAAAUUGUAAAUGGGAUGGGGGCUGGCAGCGAUGGGAAGUUGUCUGGUUUAGCUCGCUGGUCGAAGCUAUGAGUUUGUUGGAGAAAAACUCCAUUUCCAGCCAAAUUGGUGGUCUAUUAAUUAGGGUUUUAGGUGUCGGCGGCUAAGAG